ACCUCUAUAGCUCAGUGACAGAGCGCUGGUCCUGUGAACCAGGGGUCAUGAGUUCAAACCUCACAGGAGACA
This is a non-coding RNA of Acanthoscelides obtectus, 72 nucleotides long. Lineage: Eukaryota; Metazoa; Arthropoda; Insecta; Coleoptera; Chrysomelidae. The record is from the annotation of a GenBank genome assembly.